UGGAAUUAAACAGCACCACAAUAAUGGUGUUGUACUUACAAAAGAAUUGUAUGCAUAGAUAAACAAAUACAAGAACAGUAUUGAGAAACAACAAUAUAAAUAUGCUAGGGGGAAAGUAACUGAUCAAGCCAAAGAAUAACGUGAUUGAAAGAUCUUGAUUUUUUCACAAACACCAAUAGUUUUUAUAGCUUUUGGAUAGUGGAGUUCUUAAUUGAGUUAAGAUACUGUACAAGUUCAAAGGAGAAUACAUAAAAAGAGGGAUGUCUUCCUAAACAUUUGGACUUAUGAAUAUGAAAUUUAGCCAUUAAAAUUAACAAGUUAAUCAUAUAUCUGUUAUCAAAGUUGAAUUGUUUUUGGUUUUUGUGCAGACCAAACAAAACAUAUUUCCAAAACAGUACAAAUCCUUUAAAUAUAUUUUCUGAAAUAAAAACACAUAAACUCUGCCAAAAAUCUUGUACAAGGUUACAAAACCAAAAAAGAUGUAUAGUAGAUUCCUUGGAAGUUUUACAAAAGCUACAGCUUGUAUCAAUGUCUAAUUUGAAUUUGCUUUGAAGAUAAUCUUUAGAAGGAUAAAUUCUGUGUAUUAAUUUAUAAGAAAUAUCUUUCAUUUUGUUGGUAAUUAAAAACUGAUUUGUUAGGAGGUGGUGGGUAGGUGUAUUGUUGUUCUUGGGUUUUGUUUCCCUUCUUGGCACAGGUAGGCGGGGCGGGGCUUGAUGGCAUUCCGGCACACCUGCGGCGCAUCGGACGUCAUCAGUGAGCGCUUUUAUGGAGCUGAGUCUCGGACGUCUGGUGUUGGAGUAUUGUCGUUUUCAUAAGUGCCUGUCCCGCUGCCUGCUCGCCUGCCUAGUUUUCUGUGUAUUGGCUUCUUUGGAUCGGUGACGGAGAGUUACUUCUUACCAGGCUGUGACCACCGCUACAGCUGUAUUUCUGUGUUGCAAGUAAUUCCGGUGCGUCAUCGGUCCGCCCGCAUACCUCGGCUCCGUCUCAUCCUUUCAGCGCUGCUCUCUGUGCACAUUUUUACCUGUCACUGUAUAUAGCCCCUUCCCUUGUAAAUAUUCCCCCAUCAUUGUAUAUAAAUCUGCAUCACUACUAUCCUGUGCUUGUGUGUGUUUCUGCCACUAAAUCCAUCCGGAUGAAGUCCCCCUAACAUGAUUAGGGAGUCUCCAAACUUCGUUCCACAUAAUACUAUCUGACAGCCGGUUCCAGAAAAAAAUGACAUAUGGUAGCGUGGUUAUAAUACUCUGAAAUAAAGCUCUGAUCGAUUUAUUGUUGUUUUUAGAUUGCUUAGAAAAGCAAAUCUUGCCAACAGAAGUUUGUAUGGGAGAUGCCAACGGCCUGUGGAAUGAAGUGAUAUUAGGUUGAUUCUUAAACUGCAUACAAACCCCUGAUGGUAUUGAUCCAAAUAUUUUUGUAU
Long non-coding RNA from Neolamprologus brichardi, 1414 nucleotides. RefSeq lists it as uncharacterized. The record is from RefSeq and is a predicted model, not a curated record. NCBI's taxonomy places the organism in Eukaryota, Metazoa, Chordata, Actinopteri, Cichliformes, Cichlidae.